Molecule: ribosomal RNA, 466 nt
Filed under: uncultured bacterium
Lineage: Bacteria
Description: partial 16S ribosomal RNA
Rfam family: Bacterial small subunit ribosomal RNA
Source: RNAcentral
GAUGAACGCUGGCGGCGUGCUUAACACAUGCAAGUCGAACGAUGAAGCUCAGCUUGCUGGGUGGAUUAGUGGCGAACGGGUGAGUAACACGUGAGUAACCUGCCCUUAACUCUGGGAUAAGCCUGGGAAACUAGGUCUAAUACCGGAUAGGAGCGCCUACCGCAUGGUGGGUGUUGGAAAGAUUUAUCGGUUUUGGAUGGACUCGCGGCCUAUCAGCUUGUUGGUGAGGUAAUGGCUCACCAAGGCGACGACGGGUAGCCGGCCUGAGAGGGUGACCAGCCACACUGGGACUGAGACACGGCCCAGACUCCUACGGGAGGCAGCAGUGGGGAAUAUUGCACAAUGGGCGAAAGCCUGAUGCAGCGACGCCGCGUGAGGGAUGACGGCCUUCGGGUUGUAAACCUCUUUCAGUAGGGAAGAAGCGAAAGUGACGGUACCUGCAGAAGAAGCACCGGCUAACUACGUG